Molecule: non-coding RNA, 46 nt
Organism: Schistosoma mansoni
Lineage: Eukaryota; Metazoa; Platyhelminthes; Trematoda; Strigeidida; Schistosomatidae
Source: Rfam
AUCCAGCCGAUGAAUCCUAAAUAAGAACGAAAUGCGCGUCCUGGAU